CUUUUAUCUCUGGAUAUAACACAGGAUGAACACUAUAAGAAAUGUUACAUGAUUCCAUUUUUCCAGCUAAUUGUAUAUUUACCACUUUAAAACUGGUAUGUUUUACAGAACAUUGGAACUGUCUGGCUACCAUGUAAGCCUUUUUACUGUUAUGAAAGAAGGUUUCUUUGACAAAAGCAUUUUCACGAUGAAUAGUUGUUUUCUGGUACCCAUAUAUACAACAGUCACAAUUUGAAUAUUUAGACCCGUCUAGGACGUUUAGAACAAUACUUUCUAUAUGAG
Molecule: long non-coding RNA, 282 nt
Filed under: Mytilus galloprovincialis (Mediterranean mussel)
Lineage: Eukaryota; Metazoa; Mollusca; Bivalvia; Mytilida; Mytilidae
Source: RNAcentral